AAAGUGUAGUCUCAUAUUUUGUGGCUGUAGGUCUGUACUGUUCAAACUUUGAGUGCGAGAGCGCCGAUUGCGCCAAAACAUCGUGUGAUGUCCGUGUCUCUGUGAGCGUUGCUCGAGCACGCUGUAGGUACCUAGGUAUAUUUAUAUUGUGGUCAUCGCGCGUGGGCUCCGUGAGUAGAUUCAAAAACUUGGCGAAUGGGGCAAAAAGGGCGUCUAAAACUAAGCGCCCGCAGGAAGAAGCUUAAAAGAUCAGCGAGAGGAUAUUUCAUGAAUAAAGAAAAUAUUCCUCCAGUGCAUGAUACGUUCCAACAAUCACUUCAAGAAGCAAUUUCGCCGCCUUUGUCGCAUUUGCCGCAAACACCGCGGUCGGCGUUUUUGAGAAUGUAAACAAACAGAAGAAAGCAACCUUAUUUCUAAAGGAAUAAAGUAUUAUUUUUAUA
RNAcentral lists this long non-coding RNA (440 nucleotides) under Helicoverpa zea (corn earworm). RNAcentral describes it as "uncharacterized LOC124645438, transcript variant X1". The record is from RNAcentral. Lineage: Eukaryota; Metazoa; Arthropoda; Insecta; Lepidoptera; Noctuidae.